Non-coding RNA from Pelobates cultripes (western spadefoot toad), 208 nucleotides. The record is from the annotation of a GenBank genome assembly. Lineage: Eukaryota; Metazoa; Chordata; Amphibia; Anura; Pelobatidae.
AGGCUAGCUAGGCCGGAUGGCGAACCAUUAUACUUGUUUGGUGACAGAUGAGGCCCUGCUAAUUGCCAAGCGGCUUGAGACGCUCUAUCUAUGCGUUGCCCCGAGGGGUUAUUGAGGCCACUCGACAUAGUGGCAGGAGUUUUAGGCCUCUCGGUGACUGUAAGACAGAAAACAGGGGAAGGGAGUGACAGGUGAGGCCCUCUCUAUG